RNAcentral lists this ribosomal RNA (462 nucleotides) under uncultured bacterium. RNAcentral's name for it is "bacterial SSU rRNA". It matches the Rfam family "Bacterial small subunit ribosomal RNA", at positions 335 to 795 of the family's 1533-position model. The record is from RNAcentral.
ACUCCUACGGGAGGCAGCAGUGAGGAAUAUUGCGCAAUGGGCGAAAGCCUGACGCAGCCAGACCGCGUGAAGGAAUAAGGUCGUAAGAUUGUAAACUUCUUUUAUAUGAGAGGAACCGUCGGUACGUGUACCGGCCUGACAGUAUCAUAUGAAUAAGCACCGGCUAACUCCGUGCCAGCAGCCGCGGUAAUACGGAGGGUGCAGGCGUUAUCCGGAUUUACUAGGUUUAAAGGGUCUGUAGGCGGUAUAAUAAGUCAGUGGUGAAAGCCCGGAGCUCAACUUCGGAAUAGCCCUUGAUACUGUUAUACUUGAGUUAAGUUGAUGUUGGCGGAAUACAUCAUGUAGCGGUGAAAUGCUUAGAUAUGAUGUAGAACACCGAUUGCGAAGGCAGCUGACAAAGCUUAAACUGACGCUGAUAGACGAAAGCGUGGGUAGCGAACAGGAUUAGAUACCCUGGUAGUC